Molecule: unclassified non-coding RNA, 258 nt
Filed under: Hevea brasiliensis (rubber tree)
Lineage: Eukaryota; Viridiplantae; Streptophyta; Magnoliopsida; Malpighiales; Euphorbiaceae
Source: RNAcentral
GCAGAUUUGAUCGACAAUUCCUUGCAAGCUGUUUGGUCUAAUGGUAAAAAUGAUAGGAGAUUGAUAAGUGUUGACUUCAUGAAAUUGGAGGAUAAAAUUUCAAUUUUUGACACUGGUCCUGGAAUGGACAACAGUGAUGAAAACUCUAUAGUGAAGUGGGGAAAGUUGGGUGCCUCACUUCACAGAUCAUCCAAGACUCGGGCAAUAGGGGGCAAACCACCUUACUUGAUGCCGUAUUUUGGCAUGUUUGGAUAUGGG